UGGGGAAUAUUGGACAAUGGGCGAAAGCCUGAUCCAGCCAUGCCGCGUGUGUGAAGAAGGCCUUAUGGUUGUAAAGCACUUUAAGCGAGGAGGAGGGUACUGGUAUUAAUACUACCAGGUACUGGACGUUACUCGCAGAAUAAGCACCGGCUAACUCUGUGCCAGCAGCCGCGGUAAUACAGAGGGUGCGAGCGUUAAUCGGAUUUACUGGGCGUAAAGCGCGCGUAGGUGGUUCGUUAAGUUGAAGAUGAAAGCCCCGGGCUCAACCUGGUGACUGCAUCCAGAACUGGCGAGCUAGAGUAGGGCAGAGGGUGGUGGAAUUUCCUGUGUAGCGGUGAAAUGCGUAGAUAUAGGAAGGAACACCAGUGGCGAAGGCGACCACCUGGACUCAUACUGACACUGAGGUGCGAAAGCGUGGGGAGCAAACAGG
This 430-nucleotide ribosomal RNA is filed under the name Pseudomonadota bacterium. RNAcentral describes it as "Proteobacteria bacterium partial 16S ribosomal RNA". It matches the Rfam family "Bacterial small subunit ribosomal RNA", at positions 355 to 776 of the family's 1533-position model. Lineage: Bacteria; Pseudomonadati; Pseudomonadota. The record is from RNAcentral.